GAGCUGUGGAGAGCAGGAGCAGUCACUGAAAAAACCCCAAAACAAUUCAAAAGUCGAGACGCAUGGGGAAAAGGACUAAAAACCAAAAGGACUACCGAAGAAGAAGAAGAAGAGGUUUGGAGAAGCAGAGACUAAGAGGAGAGGCCGUCUAAAAUAAACCCCCUGCUGAGCCGACGUGAAGCUAACGGCAGCGAUGGAGCCGAGCCGGGGCCCGGGCGGUUCAGCAGGGCAGAAGUAAAGACCCGUCACAACAAACAAGCUCCUCACCGCACAGUUUCUCCUGCCAGCAGACGUCUCAUCCGCUUCAGCCAUGUGGAGGAAAA
Molecule: long non-coding RNA, 323 nt
Organism: Myripristis murdjan (pinecone soldierfish)
Lineage: Eukaryota; Metazoa; Chordata; Actinopteri; Holocentriformes; Holocentridae
Exons: 3
Source: RefSeq, a predicted model, not a curated record